This 668-nucleotide ribosomal RNA is filed under the name uncultured bacterium. RNAcentral's name for it is "bacterial SSU rRNA". It matches the Rfam family "Bacterial small subunit ribosomal RNA", at positions 140 to 807 of the family's 1533-position model. The record is from RNAcentral.
GGGAUAGCCUUUCGAAAGAAAGAUUAAUAUCCGAUAGCAUAUCAAGAUCGCAUGAUCUUGAUACUAAAGAAUUUCGGUUAUCGAUGGGGAUGCGUUCCAUUAGUUAGUUGGCGGGGUAACGGCCCACCAAGACGACGAUGGAUAGGGGUUCUGAGAGGAAGGUCCCCCACAUUGGAACUGAGACACGGUCCAAACUCCUACGGGAGGCAGCAGUGAGGAAUAUUGGUCAAUGGACGAGAGUCUGAACCAGCCAAGUAGCGUGAAGGAUGACUGCCCUAUGGGUUGUAAACUUCUUUUAUAUGGGAAUAAAACAGGGUAUGCAUACCCUCUUGUAUGUACCAUAUGAAUAAGGAUCGGCUAACUCCGUGCCAGCAGCCGCGGUAAUACGGAGGAUCCGAGCGUUAUCCGGAUUUAUUGGGUUUAAAGGGAGCGUAGGUGGAUUGUUAAGUCAGUUGUGAAAGUUUGCGGCUCAACCGUAAAAUUGCAGUUGAAACUGGCAGUCUUGAGUACAGUAGAGGUGGGCGGAAUUCGUGGUGUAGCGGUGAAAUGCUUAGAUAUCACGAAGAACUCCGAUUGCGAAGGCAGCUCACUGGACUGCAACUGACACUGAUGCUCGAAAGUGUGGGUAUCAAACAGGAUUAGAUACCCUGGUAGUCCACACAGUAAAC